Molecule: ribosomal RNA, 208 nt
Filed under: uncultured bacterium
Lineage: Bacteria
Description: partial 16S ribosomal RNA
Rfam family: Bacterial small subunit ribosomal RNA
Source: RNAcentral
CGCGUAGGCGGUCGUGCACGUCGGGGGUGAAAUCCCCGGGCUUAACCCGGGAACUGCCUUCGAUACGGCGCGGCUAGAGUGCGGGAGGGGAGAGUGGAACUCCUGGUGGAGUGGUGAAAUGCGUAGAUAUCAGGAGGAACGCCGGUGGCGAAAGCGACUCUCUGGUCCGCAACUGACGCUGAGGCGCGAAAGCCAGGGGAGGCAAACG